CCCCGGUGGAGCUGUGGUUUAUUCGAAGCAACGCGAAGAACCUUACCAGGUCUUGACAUCCUCUGACAACCCUAGAGAUAGGGCUUCUCCUUCGGGAGCAGAGUGACAGGUGGUGCAUGGUUGUCGUCAGCUCGUGUCGUGAGAUGUUGGGUUAAGUCCCGCAACGAGCGCAACCCUUGAUCUUAGUUGCCAUCAUUUAGUUGGGCACUCUAAGGUGACUGCCGGUGACAAACCGGAGGAAGGUGGGGAUGACGUCAAAUCAUCAUGCCCCUUAUGACCUGGGCUACACACGUGCUACAAUGGACGGUACAAAGAGCUGCAAGACCGCGAGGUGGAGCUAAUCUCAUAAAACCGUUCUCAGUUCGGAUUGUAGGCUGCAACUCGCCUACAUGAAGCUGGAAUCGCUAGUAAUCGCGGAUCAGCAUGCCGCGGUGAAUACGUUCCCGGGCCUUGUACACACCCGCCCGUUG
Molecule: ribosomal RNA, 470 nt
Filed under: Bacillus sp. MZ-2012-S6
Lineage: Bacteria; Bacillati; Bacillota; Bacilli; Caryophanales; Bacillaceae
Description: bacterial SSU rRNA
Rfam family: Bacterial small subunit ribosomal RNA
Source: RNAcentral